CAGGGCGUAGUUUACCGGCAGAAUGCGCGGAUGGGGUCCGUGUGGACUGGGUUCAAUUCCCAGCGCCCUGA
Molecule: transfer RNA, 71 nt
Filed under: Candidatus Woesebacteria bacterium
Lineage: Bacteria; Candidatus Woeseibacteriota
Description: tRNA-Pro
Rfam family: tRNA
About the family: Transfer RNA (tRNA) molecules are approximately 80 nucleotides in length.
Source: RNAcentral